AGAAGGUAAAAGAGUACUGCAUUUUUUUUUAAUCAAAAAAUAAAAUAAAGAAAGUUAAAAACCCUUGAAAACUAAACCAUCCAUAUUCAUCUUCUUUAACAAUACUAUGAUUUCCCACGCAAACCAAACCCCUAAAACUUGAAACCCAAUCAAACACCAGUAUAUUCCCUUGCAAUUUGAAGCGACGGAGCAUCUAAUAUUGCGUCUCAACCCCAGCAACUAAAUUUUCCGGCUUAAUUGUGAUAAUUUUGGCGGUGGGUCUCACCUAAUAUUUUGUAGAAGCUUCGAAUUCGAAGGAACCGGGGUCUUCAAAGAGGAGAAGGCUUAAGUCAAAAUGGAGUUGAAGAAAGCAAGUUCUAGAGGAGGUGUUGUCGAACUCUCUGAAAGGUUCGGUCGAACCUUGGGUGUGACCGAACCUGCACAAGGUUUGACCGAACUUUGGAAGCAGGUACUUUUUAGAUUUCAUCAUUUUUAGAAGCGGUCGAACCCCAUAAGUUCGACCGAACCAGGAGCAGGGAGGUUCGACCAAACCUACCCAUGGUUCGGCCGAACCUACCCUGAUGUUUGACCGAACCUACCCUAUGUUCGGUCGAACCUUUUGCCGAUUUCAACCAACUGUGUGCAGACUAUAUAAGCCCUGUUUUAGAACGUUUUGGGGGAAGGAGAUUAACUUAGUUCUAAUUUCUUAAUUUUAGCUUAAUCUAGAGAGAGAAAGUGGAUUAUUACUCAAGUUUCCUUUAUUGUAUUCAACUUUGGUCAAGUUUAAUAUUCAAUCAAGCAACAUUUAAAGUUUUCAUCUUUCA
Molecule: long non-coding RNA, 803 nt
Organism: Chenopodium quinoa (quinoa)
Lineage: Eukaryota; Viridiplantae; Streptophyta; Magnoliopsida; Caryophyllales; Amaranthaceae
Exons: 2
Source: RefSeq, a predicted model, not a curated record